GAUAACCAGGAAGCAAACUUUCCCAACAGCCAUUCAAUCAUUUAAUCUAGCUUGUAAGUAAAAAACUGAGAGCGUGUUUUGCUUACAAAUUUUAUUCAAAAUGCCUUUAGUUCGUGGCGGAACUUCCGAAGCUAAAGAUGCAAAUGAAGAAGUGCAGAAAAUAUGCGACAAGAUGAAGGCUGAUGCUGAGGAAAAAGCUGGGCGCAAGUUUGACGUUUUCACUGCUAAAUCUUUUAAAACGCAGGUUGUUGCGGGGACAAAUUACUUUGUUAAGGUGCAUGUAGGUGAUGAAGACUAUGUUCAUCUGCGUGUCUACAAAACACUGCCUCAUGCUGGAGAAACACUGCAGCUGACAAGCAUACAGACAGCCAAGGCUCAUCAUGAUGCUAUUGAAUACUUCUGAAGCAGAACAACAGAAAACAUCGCCAGUACUGCCCCAAAUACACACAAACCCAUUUGUAAACACUACCUAGAAGGAGCCAGCCAAUUUUCAACAGCAUGUUUAUAAUCCAGACGAUGAAGAAUGCAUACAACAACACAGCAGGACUGCAGUACAUUGGGCCAUUAACACUCCUGAGAAAAACAAAAAAACAUACUGUAAAUCAACUUCAGAGUCAUAUUCUUAUAAAUGACAUCUCGUUUUUGUGUUAAAGCUUUACCUCCUGCAUGUAGUGAAGAGAAUGUAAGCACUCAUGAGCGACAGCCAGAUGUAAAUGACACCCCAAACUAUGCGACUGUAUUUCAGUACUGCUCAUUUUGGAGGUACUUGGAGAGACAAUUUUUUCUGAGGUGGUACUUGAUGGAUAAGUUUGAGAACCACUGA
This is an RNA transcript of Danio rerio (zebrafish), 823 nucleotides long. It is a transcript of the gene named cystatin 14a, tandem duplicate 1, with no coding region annotated. The record is from RefSeq and is marked validated. NCBI's taxonomy places the organism in Eukaryota, Metazoa, Chordata, Actinopteri, Cypriniformes, Danionidae.